Molecule: ribosomal RNA, 468 nt
Filed under: uncultured bacterium
Lineage: Bacteria
Description: partial 16S ribosomal RNA
Rfam family: Bacterial small subunit ribosomal RNA
Source: RNAcentral
GACGAACGCUGGCGGCGUGCUUAACACAUGCAAGUCGAACGGAAAGGCCCUGCUUUUGUGGGGUGCUCGAGUGGCGAACGGGUGAGUAACACGUGAGUAACCUGCCCUUGACUUUGGGAUAACUUCAGGAAACUGGGGCUAAUACCGGAUAGGAGCUCCUGCUGCAUGGUGGGGGUUGGAAAGUUUCGGCGGUUGGGGAUGGACUCGCGGCUUAUCAGCUUGUUGGUGGGGUAGUGGCUUACCAAGGCUUUGACGGGUAGCCGGCCUGAGAGGGUGACCGGCCACAUUGGGACUGAGAUACGGCCCAGACUACUACGGGAGGCAGCAGUGGGGAAUAUUGCACAAUGGGCGGAAGCCUGAUGCAGAAACGCCGCGUGCGGGAUGACGGCCUUCGGGUUGUAAACCGCUUUCGCCUGUGACGAAGCGUGAGUGACGGUAAUGGGUAAAGAAGCACCGGCUAACUACGUG